GACGAACGCUGGCGGCGUGCUUAACACAUGCAAGUCGAGCGGUAAGGCCCUUCGGGUACGACGAGCGGCGAACGGGUGAGUAACACGUGGGUGACCUGCCCUCAGCUCUGGGAUAAGCCUGGGAAACCGGGUCUAAUACUGGAUAUGACUCCAUGACGCAUGUUGGUGGGGUGGAAAGCCUUGUGCGGCUGAGGAUGGGCCCGCGGCCUAUCAGCUUGUUGGGUGGGGUG
This 230-nucleotide ribosomal RNA is filed under the name uncultured bacterium. RNAcentral's name for it is "partial 16S ribosomal RNA". It matches the Rfam family "Bacterial small subunit ribosomal RNA", at positions 28 to 260 of the family's 1533-position model. The record is from RNAcentral.